Molecule: ribosomal RNA, 492 nt
Filed under: uncultured bacterium
Lineage: Bacteria
Description: partial 16S ribosomal RNA
Rfam family: Bacterial small subunit ribosomal RNA
Source: RNAcentral
AGUGAACGCUGGCGGUAGGCCUAACACAUGCAAGUCGAACGGCAGCACAGUAAGAGCUUGCUCUUACGGGUGGCGAGUGGCGGACGGGUUAGGAAUACAUCGGAAUCUACUUUUUCGUUGGGGAUAACGUAGGGAAACUUACGCUAAUACCGCAUACGACCUACGGGUGAAAGCAUGGGAUCUUCGGACCUUUCGCGAUUGAAUGAUCCGAUGUCGGGUUAGCUAGUUGGCGGGGUAAAGGCCCACCACGGCGACGAUCCGUAGCUGGUCUGAGAGGAUGAUCAGCCACACUGGAACUGAGACACGGUCCAGACUCAUACGGGAGGCAGCAGUGGGGAAUAUUGGACAAUGGGCGCAAGCCUGAUCCAGCCAUACCGAGUGGGUGAAGAAGGCCUUCGGGUUGUAAAGCCCUUUUGUUGGGAAAGAAAAGCAGCAGGUUAAUACCCCGCUGUUCUGACGGUACCCAAAGAAUAAGCACCGGCUAACUUCGUG